This is a long non-coding RNA of Neltuma alba, 854 nucleotides long. RefSeq lists it as uncharacterized. Lineage: Eukaryota; Viridiplantae; Streptophyta; Magnoliopsida; Fabales; Fabaceae. The record is from RefSeq and is a predicted model, not a curated record. The transcript has 2 exons.
UUUGGUUAGCUUUAUUAGGAGACUCUCGCAGCCUCUCCUCAUCCACCACGGAAGGUGGGAGAGAGGGCGGGGGCGCUGUGUGGGGUGUUGGGGGAAGACGAUGAUAUGGUUACCUCACCGCGCGGUCUCUAAUUCGCUUGGUGCAGGUCGGGAACCGGUUCUGCUUCUACCACUGCGCCGGAUGGCGCGAAAUGGGCGGUUAUCUUGCCGGCGUUGAAUCGGAUCCCGCCUUGCAUCAACUGAAUCGGAGACCGCGGUGAAGCUUUGCAUGGAUCUCGGUUUUUUCUGGUGAUUAUUUCUCAGAUCUCAGGCUUGAUCAUCUCUAUGCUAUGGAGAGUAUUGUUUUACCUUAUCUGUCAAAUAAGAUGCCUCAUGGAUUACCUAACUUUUGAUGCUUCUGGAUGACAAAUAUAUAUUCACUUCCCCGGCAUUGCUUUUGAUGGAUUGUCAUUUAGCUUCCUGGAGGACCAGACCACACAGGCUGGUUGCAGUUCAAUCAAGUGUUACUAUGAGCUGUUCUCAUUUAUUCUGCUUGAUAAAUCAUGAGUUGCUAGACGAACUGAAGCCUGAUAUUUGCUCUUGUUGUUCGGUUGGUUCUGGUUCUCAAUAAUUUGGAUUCCUGAUGCAAGCUUUACAUUGGCCAGGGAUUGGAUUGAACUAGCAAUAUUAUGUCUGGAGGAAAUAAUGAUAUUUGCAUAGCUGCUUACUUGACUCCAUGAUUGCCUUGCUGCUGUCCUUUGGUGGUAAGAAAGUAUUAGUUUUAGCCUUUAAGGGCCUACCUGGAAAGAAAGAUUCUUAUUUGACCAAAAGGAAAGAUACUUGAUAAUUGCUUAAUCACUGUAGAAAUUUUUUUA